GACGAACGCUGGCGGCGUGCUUAACACAUGCAAGUCGAGCGGUAAGGCCCUUUCGGGGGUACACGAGCGGCGAACGGGUGAGUAACACGUGGGUGACCUGCCCUCAGCUCUGGGAUAAGCCUGGGAAACCGGGUCUAAUACUGGAUAUGACUCCAUGACGCAUGUUGUGGGGUGGAAAGCCUUGUGCGGCUGAGGAUGGGCCCGCGGCCUAUCAGCUUGUUGGUGGGGUGAGGCCUACCAAGGCGACGACGGGUAGCCGGCCUGAGAGGGCGACCGGCCACACUGGGACUGAGACACGGCCCAGACUCCUACGGGAGGCAGCAGUGGGGAAUCUUGCGCAAUGGGCGAAAGCCUGACGCAGCG
RNAcentral lists this ribosomal RNA (363 nucleotides) under uncultured bacterium. RNAcentral describes it as "bacterial SSU rRNA". It matches the Rfam family "Bacterial small subunit ribosomal RNA", at positions 28 to 393 of the family's 1533-position model. The record is from RNAcentral.